This 317-nucleotide ribosomal RNA is filed under the name uncultured bacterium. RNAcentral's name for it is "bacterial SSU rRNA". It matches the Rfam family "Bacterial small subunit ribosomal RNA", at positions 28 to 334 of the family's 1533-position model. The record is from RNAcentral.
GACGAACGCUAGGCGCGGCGGCCUAACACAUGCAAGUCGAACGAGCGAGAGAGGAGUUUGGCUUUACGUCGAGCGAGUGGCGAACGGGUGAGUAACGCGUGAGGAACCUGCCUCAAAGAGGGGGACAACAGUUGGAAACGACUGCUAAUACCGCAUAAGCCCACAGCUCGGCAUCGAGCAGAGGGAAAAGGAGUGAUCCGCUUUGAGAUGGCCUCGCGUCCGAUUAGCUGGUUGGUGAGGUAACGGCCCACCAAGGCGACGAUCGGUAGCCGGACUGAGAGGUUGACCGGCCACAUUGGGACUGAGACACGGCCCAG